RNAcentral lists this ribosomal RNA (1007 nucleotides) under uncultured archaeon. RNAcentral describes it as "bacterial SSU rRNA". It matches the Rfam family "Archaeal small subunit ribosomal RNA", at positions 38 to 1048 of the family's 1478-position model. The record is from RNAcentral.
CUGGGCUUAAGCCAUGCGAGUCAUUGUAGCAAUACAAGGCAGACGGCUCAGUAACGCGUAGUCAAUCUACCCUAUGGACGGGAAUAACCUCGGGAAACUGAGAAUAAUGCCCGAUAGAACAUUAUGCCUGGAAUGGUUUAUGUUUCAAAUGAUUUAUCGCCAUAGGAUGGGACUGCGGCCUAUCAGUUUGUUGGUGAGGUAAUGGCCCACCAAGACUAUUACAGGUACGGGCUCUGAGAGGAGUAGCCCGGAGAUGGGUACUGAGACACGGACCCAGGCCCUAUGGGGCGCAGCAGGCGAGAAAACUUUGCAAUGUGCGAAAGCACGACAAGGUUAAUCCGAGUGGUUUCUGCUAAAGAAACCUUUUGUCAGUCCUAGAAACACUGACGAAUAAGGGGUGGGCAAGUUCUGGUGUCAGCCGCCGCGGUAAAACCAGCACCUCAAGUGGUCAGGAUGAUUAUUGGGCCUAAAGCAUCCGUAGCUCGUUUUGUAAGUUUUCGGUUAAAUCCAUGCGCUUAACGUAUGGGCUGCCGGGAAUACUGCAUAACUAGGAAGUGGGAGAGGUAGACGGUACUCGGUAGGAAGGGGUAAAAUCCUUUGAUCUAUUGAUGACCACCUGUGGCGAAGGCGGUCUACCAGAACACGUUCGACGGUGAGGGAUGAAAGCUGGGGGAGCAAACCGGAUUAGAUACCCGGGUAGUCCCAGCUGUAAACUAUGCAAACUCAGUGAUGCAUUGGCUUGUGGCCAAUGCAGUGCUGCAGGGAAGCCGUUAAGUUUGCCGCCUGGGAAGUACGUACGCAAGUAUGAAACUUAAAGGAAUUGGCGGGGGAGCACCACAAGGGGUGAAGCCUGCGGUUCAAUUGGAGUCAACGCCAGAAAUCUUACCCGGAGAGACAGCAGAAUGAAGGUCAAGCUGAAGACUUUACCAGACAAGCUGAGAGGUGGUGCAUGGCCAGAGCAUAAGUGUAAGCUGGGUGCUAUGAGGUGGAGCUACUCACAUAUGCGU